AUGAAACACUCCUACGGGAGGCAGCAGUAGGGAAUCUUCGGCAAUGGGGGGAACCCUGACCGAGCAACGCCGCGUGAGUGAAGAAGGUUUUCGGAUCGUAAAGCUCUGUUGUUAAGGAAGAACGUGUGUGAGAGUGGAAAGUUCACACAGUGACGGUACUUAACCAGAAAGGGACGGCUAACUACGUGCCAGCAGCCGCGGUAAUACGUAGGUCCCGAGCGUUGUCCGGAUUUAUUGGGCGUAAAGCGAGCGCAGGCGGUUAGAUAAGUCUGAAGUGAAAGGCAGUGGCUCAACCAUUGUAGGCUUUGGAAACUGUUUAACUUGAGUGCAGAAGGGGAGAGUGGAAUUCCAUGUGUAGCGGUGAAAUGCGUAGAUAUAUGGAGGAACACCGGUGGCGAAAGCGGCUCUCUGGUCUGUAACUGACGCUGAGGCUCGAAAGCGUGGGGAGCGAACAGGAUUAGAAACCCUAGUAGUCCGAAGUUC
Molecule: ribosomal RNA, 483 nt
Filed under: uncultured bacterium
Lineage: Bacteria
Description: bacterial SSU rRNA
Rfam family: Bacterial small subunit ribosomal RNA
Source: RNAcentral